UCCUUUCUCAGAACAAGAUAGUGCUGUGUGUAGGAAAAUCACCUAACUCUUGUCAGUGUUUAUCAGAUGUGGAGAGAAAACCUGCUUCUCUCUUUGUCAUGUGACCCAUCGCUCCUGCUGAAAUCGUGCCAUCAGCUGAGGGGUGACUGGGUUUCCCACCCACAACAAGGGUUCAGAACAGCACAUGUGGCUUUCCUGCAAUGGGAUCGUCCUUCAAGAGGACCUCACAGGCUCUCCACCCGGACUGUGACGUAAGCAGCUGCAGCAGCCUUGGAUGUUUCUGGAUAACCAGCCCUAUGAGAACAGCUUUAAAAUAGGAGACUGGCAUUGUGAUGAAGUGUGGACUUCGCUGUCAUAUAGACCUGGAUUUAAAUCCUGGCUUCCGUGUUUAUGGAUGACGUUGGACAAGUCAUUUAACCUCCUUAAGUCUCAGAGUUCUCAUUAUGGAAAUGGAGCUCUUAAUAGUACCUACCCCGUAGUGUGGUUGUGAGGGUUGAGAUCAUCUAUGUUCAAAGUGCUUAUUAUACAGAGACUGGGACAUGUUAAAAAUGCAGCUGCAUCUGUGCAGAAACCAGGUGUUGUCUGUGAGUUCUGCCUCGCUGGCCAGAGGUGGAAGGAAGGAGGAAAGGAGAGGGGCCUCCAUACUUCCAGAGCCCCACUGGGGGUUACCUUCGCUUGCCCCCACUCUUUUUGUCUUGCUCUGAGGAUGCCAGGACUUUAAGGACAUUGUCAGCAAGCACAGAAAGAAUCUCAGUCAUCUGGACUGCUUGGUGCUAUAUGAAAAUCUCUGAGAACCUUCAAGAGCCCAAAAACAGUUCUCCUCCAUGCUGUAUGCCAUGGUCAGUGGUUAAAGAGAACAUUCUGUUCCACUCCUCCAGCUCUGCCUUAGAAACCCAAGCCCUGCACUCCAAGGCUCCUGGCAUCGUACACCAGCACCAGCAAUUUUCUGCCAAAAGCAUCAGCCAAAAUCUAUUCUAUCUAUUUCAGUUCCUCUCUUUUCAUCGGAUUGUAUUUUUACAGGUGAUUGCUGAUUCUCACACUGCUCUUCAGAUUCAUGUACAGCUGUGGUCUGAAUGUGUGUGUUUUCUCAAAAUUCAAGUUUAAAACUUAAUCCUCAAUGUGAUAGUAUCAACAGCUGCGGCCUUUUGGAAAGUGAAGGUGGAGCCCUCGUGAGUGGGAUUAGAGCUCUUAUAAAAGAGAUUGAAGGGAGCUACCUAGCCCUUCCAUCUCUUCUGCCUUGUGAGGACACAGUGUUCAUCCCUUUUGUCUUCCCACCAUUUGAAGAUGCAGAAAGAAGGUGCCAUCUUGGAAGCAAAGAGCAGCCCUCACCAGACACCAAGUCUGCUGGCAUGUUGAUCUUGGACUUCCCAGCCUCCAGGACUGUGAGAAAUGAAUUUCUGUUGUUUAUAAAUUACCUAGUCUAAGGUAUGCUGUUAUAGUAGCAGGAAUGGACUAAGACACACAUUGUCAAAAUCUUCAUGAGUUAAAGGUGAAGGUACAAUCAGAACUGGUGCAUGGAAUUGGAACCAUAGGUCUUAGUAAACACCGUAAAAAUGCACUAUUCAAAUCUAUAGAAAAUGCUCUCUCUUCAAGUUCAGAAAGAAGCUACAAUCUGCUUUUCCUUUUUUUCUGAAGGGAAGUAAAAUUCUAUGUUUCUGGACUAAGAGAUCUACACCCCAGUCUUUCUCUUUCUGACAUGUAUAGUAACCUUUGGCAAAUUACUCAAGCUUUCUUUGUUCUGGUGAAAAUAAAGUGCACAGGACAGUAUUACUAAGAGGCCUGAGCAACAUUAGAGGUUGAUAACGAUGGUUCCAAAGGCCUUUAAGAAGGUGUAAUGCUAUGUGGAUGUUUUUAUUGAAACCUCCCCUGGGUUUUCAGAAUUCUCUUUGGAAUUAGUCCUGUGGGAAUAUGCCUUUUGGGAUCUAUUCUCACCUCUUAUUCAGUCCCCCUUUUCUUGUAUUAAAAUCUAUAAUUUGAAGUUAUUCUGUCAUUUAAAAAUUAGGUCCAUAACCUCAUCAUCACUGGGUUUUCCUCUCCAGACCAUUUCCAGUAGAAUGUUGGUCAUAUUCCCAUGUGAGAGAACAAAUCAGUUAUUCAUUACAUCUGAUCAAUGAGCUAGUACUACACCAUAAGGAAGUGUAGUAAAACCAGAAACUGGGAAACACCAGAAAAAAUUUGCUUUGUCCUGUGUUUUAAUUUGGGGUAUGAUAAAGUGCCACAGGACAUUAAUCCAGGGACUGAGAUAGACUCUUAAGUUUGGCAAUCAGUAAAAGAACUUGCUGAAUCUCUCUAGACUUAACCUAAAGGAGCCAGCCUCUUUUCUCACGAGAACACUUUAUUUUAGGGUUAGUGGUGAAUUAAUUCUACAGUGUUUAAUUCCACAUAUAAACUUCAUUUUCUAUAUAAAUGUUUUGUUGUAACAUAUUCAAUUACUUUCUUUUGUUGUUUUUCUGAAACAUUCCCUUUUUCACCUUUUCUAACCUCUUAAACCAAAUAAAAAACUCACUUAUCUUCUUGCUGUUGUAA
Molecule: long non-coding RNA, 2526 nt
Organism: Pan troglodytes (chimpanzee)
Lineage: Eukaryota; Metazoa; Chordata; Mammalia; Primates; Hominidae
Exons: 4
Source: RefSeq, a predicted model, not a curated record